GCUGUAUGAGUCUAAGAUGAGUG
Molecule: non-coding RNA, 23 nt
Filed under: Arabidopsis thaliana (thale cress)
Lineage: Eukaryota; Viridiplantae; Streptophyta; Magnoliopsida; Brassicales; Brassicaceae
Source: RNAcentral